Non-coding RNA from Zootermopsis nevadensis, 1467 nucleotides. NCBI's taxonomy places the organism in Eukaryota, Metazoa, Arthropoda, Insecta, Blattodea, Termopsidae. The record is from RefSeq and is a predicted model, not a curated record.
CACACAAUUAAUGCUGACCCAUGGAAGAGUUAAAAUAGAUACGAAGACUGCCAUGGAUAAUCUAUUUAAGAGACUUUACACUCUCAAGGAGGCAACCGUUUAUAUUCGCCAGCCCAGUCGCAGAACAUUCCAGACUAAAAGGAUCUAGAAGAUUCGCUUUCUCAAAGGUUCUGUAAAGGAGGGGAAUACAGCAACUGGAACAUUCCGUGGCGGCCACACCUAAAAUCAGUGUCCACUAGCCAGGGAGAGGAGUCAGGUGACUCCUCCCCUCCAGUGUGAGCUUCAUGCACUUUUGGCACCACAUUACAAUACUUUAUUUUUAUCACACAUAAUUGCCAUAGUUAUUUUUAAUUUAAGUUUGCUAUAUGCAGAUUCCUAAUGUUAAAUUCUUUAUACAUAGAACUUAAAAUGUCAGAAUGUAUGUUCACUUGUAGGUCAAGAAAAGAUAUAGCAACCUGCUCCAAACUUGGCAUGCAUAUUUACUGAUGCCAGGAAUGGAUUUCAGAAAGGUCACAACUCCAAAAGUGUCCUGUGUGUAAGUCCUAGUGAUUUCUGUAGCUCAGAAACCAAGCACAACAGAACAGCGCCAAGACCAAAGUUCUUUGUUUCAUCAAGGAGAUUACAGGAACAAACGCCACAACCCUGAAUAAGUUCCAUUACUGAUGUUGGGUUUAGGAAUAAUUUGUUACAAUAUUCAACAAUACAUAUCAAAUGAUGAAGCCUACAAAAUUCUUCUGGGCAAUAAAGAUCGAUAAAAAAUGUAAACAUUUGUCAAAAUUUCCCACAGUAAUAAUGUGGGCACUCUGCUAGUUCCCAAAACAAAGAAACUGAAAUGUCAACAAUGAGUAUUAACAGAAAAAUGUGGUAUGUCUCAGCUUCAGAAACUGUUAUUAUUGUGUUCACACACCCAUCCAAAUAAAACCUAGAAAAAUAUAAAGAAAAAACUGUGAACUUAGAAUCAAUUCGUCAUCAUGAACUCAAUGAAUAUACCAGGUAUACUAUGUUAUGGUUUCUUCUAUUAACACAUCAAUUCUUACUUUAUAAUACUGCUUACAGAACUCACACUCCAGGAAAUGUUUAACUGAAGUUUCUCCUGGUCUUCUUAGUAGAUUUAAACGUCACAGAAAUUUUCAUACAAGAAUGCUUAUGUAAACCUAUCCAUGUCCAACACAGAGGGAACAUUACAAAAUUACAGUAUCCUCUCAGAACUACUGCUGCAUGCAGCAACCAUGCAGUGAUUGUGUACAGAAGAAAAAGCAUGCCACAACAGUCACAUCCGCCCUGCAGUAUAAAAAGAGUAACAGAAAACCAAAAGUAUUUUGUAAAUUUAACAUUAGUGAUUGACAUCUGAAUUUUCAGGACCUUCAAACUUGUAAAGACAUCUUUAACCUUCUCAUUAUAAGAAUGUUUGGCAUAUGCAAAUAUUUGGUAAUGUGUACUUCACAUACAAAUAAAAUUAUCAGAAAU